CCAAUGGCUCUUUUUAGAGCCCCAAAUUUUAAAGAAAGAACUGAA
This is a non-coding RNA of Strongylocentrotus purpuratus (purple sea urchin), 45 nucleotides long. NCBI's taxonomy places the organism in Eukaryota, Metazoa, Echinodermata, Echinoidea, Camarodonta, Strongylocentrotidae. The record is from Rfam.